This 497-nucleotide ribosomal RNA is filed under the name uncultured bacterium. RNAcentral describes it as "partial 16S ribosomal RNA". It matches the Rfam family "Bacterial small subunit ribosomal RNA", at positions 28 to 507 of the family's 1533-position model. The record is from RNAcentral.
GAUGAACGCUGGCGGCGUGUCUAAUACAUGCAAGUCGAGCGAACAGACGAGGAGCUUGCUCCUCUGACGUUAGCGGCGGACGGGUGAGUAACACGUGGAUAACCUACCUAUAAGACUGGGAUAACUUCGGGAAACCGGAGCUAAUACCGGAUAAUAUAUUGAACCGCAGGGUUCAAUAGUGAAAGACGGUUUUGCUGUCACUUAUAGAUGGAUCCGCGCCGUAUUAGCUAGUUGGUAAGGUAACGGCUUACCAAGGCGACGAUGCGUAGCCGACCUGAGAGGGUGAUCGGCCACACUGGAACUGAGACACGGUCCAGACUCCUACGGGAGGCAGCAGUAGGGAAUCUUCCGCAAUGGGCGAAAGCCUGACGGAGCAACGCCGCGUGAGUGAUGAAGGUCUUCGGAUCGUAAAACUCUGUUAUUAGGGAAGAACAAAUGUGUAAGUAAAUAUGCACGUCUUGACGGUACCUAAUCAGAAAGCCACGGCUAACUACGUG